Molecule: ribosomal RNA, 200 nt
Filed under: uncultured bacterium
Lineage: Bacteria
Description: partial 16S ribosomal RNA
Rfam family: Bacterial small subunit ribosomal RNA
Source: RNAcentral
UACGAAGGGGGCAAGCGUUGUUCGGAAUUACUGGGCGUAAAGGGCGUGUAGGCGGUUUAAUCAGUCAGAGGUGAAAUCCCUGGGCUCAACCCAGGAAUUGCCUUUGAUACUGUUAGACUAGAGUUCGGGAGAGGAUAGUGGAAUUCCCAGUGUAGAGGUGAAAUUCGUAGAUAUUGGGAAGAACACCAGUGGCGAAGGCG